This 522-nucleotide ribosomal RNA is filed under the name uncultured Glomus. Its description in RNAcentral is "SSU rRNA". It matches the Rfam family "Eukaryotic small subunit ribosomal RNA", at positions 569 to 1092 of the family's 1831-position model. The record is from RNAcentral. Lineage: Eukaryota; Fungi; Glomeromycota; Glomeromycetes; Glomerales; Glomeraceae.
AGCAGCCGCGGUAAUUCCAGCUCCAAUAGCGUAUAUUAAAGUUGUUGCAGUUAAAAAGCUCGUAGUUGAAUUUCGGGGUCAGUAGGUCGGUCGUGCCACUGGUAUGAACUGGUUUUACUGAUUCCUCCCUCUUGAAGAACUGUAAUGCCAUUAAUUUGGUGUUGCAGGGAAUCAGGACUGUUACUUUGAAAAAAUUAGAGUGUUUAAAGCAGGCUUUAGCUUGAAUACAUUAGCAUGGAAUAAUGAAAUAGGACGUUUGAUCCUAUUUUAUUGGUUUCUAGGAUUGACGUAAUGAUUAAUAGGGAUAGUUGGGGGCAUUAGUAUUCAAUUGUCAGAGGUGAAAUUCUUGGAUUUAUUGAAGACUAACUACUGCGAAAGCAUUUGCCAAGGAUGUUUUCAUUAAUCAAGAACGAAAGUUAGGGGAUCGAAGACGAUCAGAUACCGUCGUAGUCUUAACCAUAAACUAUGCCGACUAGGGAUCGGGUGAUGUUAAUUUUUUAAUGACUCAUUCGGCGCCUUACG